Molecule: ribosomal RNA, 852 nt
Filed under: Escherichia coli
Lineage: Bacteria; Pseudomonadati; Pseudomonadota; Gammaproteobacteria; Enterobacterales; Enterobacteriaceae
Description: bacterial LSU rRNA
Rfam family: Bacterial large subunit ribosomal RNA
Source: RNAcentral
GGGUUGUGAGGUUAAGCGACUAAGCGUACACGGUGGAUGCCCUGGCAGUCAGAGGCGAUGAAGGACGUGCUAAUCUGCGAUAAGCGUCGGUAAGGUGAUAUGAACCGUUAUAACCGGCGAUUUCCGAAUGGGGAAACCCAGUGUGAUUCGUCACACUAUCAUUAACUGAAUCCAUAGGUUAAUGAGGCGAACCGGGGGAACUGAAACAUCUAAGUACCCCGAGGAAAAGAAAUCAACCGAGAUUCCCCCAGUAGCGGCGAGCGAACGGGGAGCAGCCCAGAGUCUGAAUCAGUGUGUGUGUUAGUGGAAGCGUCUGGAAAGGCGCGCGAUACAGGGUGACAGCCCCGUACACAAAAAUGCACAUGCUGUGAGCUCGAUGAGUAGGGCGGGACACGUGGUAUCCUGUCUGAAUAUGGGGGGACCAUCCUCCAAGGCUAAAUACUCCUGACUGACCGAUAGUGAACCAGUACCGUGAGGGAAAGGCGAAAAGAACCCCGGCGAGGGGAGUGAAAAAGAACCUGAAACCGUGUACGUACAAGCAGUGGGAGCCUCUUUUAUGGGGUGACUGCGUACCUUUUGUAUAAUGGGUCAGCGACUUAUAUUCUGUAGCAAGGUUAACCGAAUAGGGGAGCCGAAGGGAAACCGAGUCUUAACUGGGCGUUAAGUUGCAGGGUAUAGACCCGAAACCCGGUGAUCUAGCCAUGGGCAGGUUGAAGGUUGGGUAACACUAACUGGAGGACCGAACCGACUAAUGUUGAAAAAUUAGCGGAUGACUUGUGGCUGGGGGUGAAAGGCCAAUCAAACCGGGAGAUAGCUGGUUCUCCCCGAAAGCUAUUUAGGUAGCGCCUCGUG